Molecule: ribosomal RNA, 872 nt
Filed under: uncultured bacterium
Lineage: Bacteria
Description: bacterial SSU rRNA
Rfam family: Bacterial small subunit ribosomal RNA
Source: RNAcentral
GAACGGGUGAGUAACACGUGGGUGAUCUGCCCUGCACUUUGGGAUAAGCCUGGGAAACUGGGUCUAAUACCGAAUAUGACCAUGCGCCUCCUGGUGUGUGGUGGAAAGCUUUUGCGGUGUGGGAUGGGCCCGCGGCCUAUCAGCUUGUUGGUGGGGUAAUGGCCUACCAAGGCGACGACGGGUAGCCGGCCUGAGAGGGUGACCGGCCACACUGGGACUGAGAUACGGCCCAGACUCCUACGGGAGGCAGCAGUGGGGAAUAUUGCACAAUGGGCGCAAGCCUGAUGCAGCGACGCCGCGUGAGGGAUGACGGCCUUCGGGUUGUAAACCUCUUUCAGCACAGACGAAGCGCAAGUGACGGUAUGUGCAGAAGAAGGACCGGCCAACUACGUGCCAGCAGCCGCGGUAAUACGUAGGGUCCGAGCGUUGUCCGGAAUUACUGGGCGUAAAGAGCUCGUAGGUGGUUUGUCGCGUUGUUCGUGAAAACUCACAGCUUAACUGUGGGCGUGCGGGCGAUACGGGCAGACUUGAGUACUGCAGGGGAGACUGGAAUUCCUGGUGUAGCGGUGGAAUGCGCAGAUAUCAGGAGGAACACCGGUGGCGAAGGCGGGUCUCUGGGCAGUAACUGACGCUGAGGAGCGAAAGCGUGGGGAGCGAACAGGAUUAGAUACCCUGGUAGUCCACGCCGUAAACGGUGGGUACUAGGUGUGGGUUUCCUUCCUUGGGAUCCGUGCCGUAGCUAACGCAUUAAGUACCCCGCCUGGGGAGUACGGCCGCAAGGCUAAAACUCAAAGAAAUUGACGGGGGCCCGCACAAGCGGCGGAGCAUGUGGAUUAAUUCGAUGCAACGCGAAGAACCUUACCUGGGUUUGA